Molecule: ribosomal RNA, 485 nt
Filed under: Cryptosporidium parvum
Lineage: Eukaryota; Apicomplexa; Conoidasida; Eucoccidiorida; Cryptosporidiidae
Description: SSU rRNA
Rfam family: Eukaryotic small subunit ribosomal RNA
Source: RNAcentral
AGUCUGGUGCCAGCAGCCGCGGUAAUUCCAGCUCCAAUAGCGUAUAUUAAAGUUGUUGCAGUUAAAAAGCUCGUAGUUGGAUUUCUGUUAAUAAUUUAUAUAAAAUAUUUUGAAUAUUUAUAUAACAUUAACAUAAUUCAUAUUACUAUAUUUUUUAGUAUAUGAAAUUUUACUUUGAGAAAAUUAGAGUGCUUAAAGCAGGCAUAUGCCUUGAAUACUCCAGCAUGGAAUAAUAUUAAAGAUUUUUAUCUUUCUUAUUGGUUCUAAGAUAAGAAUAAUGAUUAAUAGGGACAGUUGGGGGCAUUUGUAUUUAACAGUCAGAGGUGAAAUUCUUAGAUUUGUUAAAGACAAACUAAUGCGAAAGCAUUUGCCAAGGAUGUUUUCAUUAAUCAAGAACGAAAGUUAGGGGAUCGAAGACGAUCAGAUACCGUCGUAGUCUUAACCAUAAACUAUGCCAACUAGAGAUUGGAGGUUGUUCCUUACUC